CGCAUCUGUGCAUGCAGCAUAUCAAUAAGCGGAGGAAAAGAAACUAACAAGGAUUCCCCUAGCUAACGGCGAGUGAAGCGGGAAGAGCUCAAAUUUGAAAUCUUAAAGGGUUUCCCUUUACGAAUUGUAGUUUAAAGAAGUGUUUUCUGUUGAGGUUUUGGUAAAAGUUCUUUGGAAUAGGACAUCAUAGAGGGUGAGAAUCCCGUAUUUGACCUUUACUUUCAACUUUGUGAUACACUUUCAAAGAGUCGGAUUGUUUGGGAAUGCAGUCCAAAAUGGGUGGUAAAUUUCAUCUAAAGCUAAAUAUUGGCGAGAGACCGAUAGCGAACAAGUACCGUGAGGGAAAGAUGAAAAGAACUUUGAAAAGAGAGUUAAACAGUACGUGAAAUUGUCAAAAGGGAAGCGUUUGACACCAGUGUUGUUUUUCUGAAAAUCAAUUAAAGAACUGUUUAUGCUAAGUUGUUUAGACUUUAUCAGCUAUCUGCUUAGUUUUGAGCUUUUCUUUAAUGCACUUUUCAGUUAACAAGUCAACAUCAAUUUCUUUUGCUGUAAAAAAGCUUGAGGAAGGUGGCUUGAGAUUCGUCCUUAAGUGUUUAUAGCCUCUUGCCUAUGCAGUCGGAGAGAUUGAGGUCUGCAGCGUAGAUCCUUCGGGGCUAAAUGCAUUUGUGCUAAGUUAUAGCAUUUUAUAGACAACCUGUUGACUAUGAUUUGUCUUGUAGCUUACUCGCUUAUGUUAUUUUACCUACGCUUAGGAUGUUGACGAGACUGUCGAUCUC
RNAcentral lists this ribosomal RNA (776 nucleotides) under uncultured Neocallimastigales. RNAcentral describes it as "partial large subunit ribosomal RNA". It matches the Rfam family "Eukaryotic large subunit ribosomal RNA", at positions 26 to 647 of the family's 3401-position model. Lineage: Eukaryota; Fungi; Neocallimastigomycota; Neocallimastigomycetes; Neocallimastigales. The record is from RNAcentral.